RNAcentral lists this ribosomal RNA (401 nucleotides) under uncultured bacterium. RNAcentral's name for it is "bacterial SSU rRNA". It matches the Rfam family "Bacterial small subunit ribosomal RNA", at positions 355 to 774 of the family's 1533-position model. The record is from RNAcentral.
UGGGGAAUCUUGCACAAUGGAGGCAACUCUGAUGCAGCGACGCCGCGUGAGCGAUGAAGGUAUUCGUAUCGUAAAGCUCUGUUGUUCGGGAAGAUGAUGACCGUACCGAACGAGGAAGCCCCGGCUAACUACGUGCCAGCAGCCGCGGUAAUACGUAGGGGGCGAGCGUUGUCCGGAAUUAUUGGGCGUAAAGGGUGCGUAGGCGGUAGGGAAAGUUAGUUGUGAAAGCGUGGGGCUCAACCCCAUACAGCAAUUAAAACUUCCUUACUUGAGUGGUGGAGAGGAAAGUGGAACUCUUAGUGUAGCGGUGAAAUGCGUAGAUAUUAAGAAGAACACCAGUGGCGAAGGCGACUUUCUGGACACCAACUGACGCUGAGGCACGAAAGCGUGGGGAGCAAACA